Molecule: non-coding RNA, 121 nt
Organism: Picea glauca (white spruce)
Lineage: Eukaryota; Viridiplantae; Streptophyta; Pinopsida; Pinales; Pinaceae
Source: Rfam
ACAUGCAUACAACAUAGUGUUAAUGCAUCAGAUCCGAUUACAACUUUGUUGUUAAGCACACUCGAGAUAGAGUAGUACUGAAAUGGGUGACCACUUGGGAAGUCCUAGUAUUUUACAUGCC